Long non-coding RNA from Pseudophryne corroboree (corroboree frog), 714 nucleotides. RefSeq lists it as uncharacterized. The transcript is spliced from 5 exons. The record is from RefSeq and is a predicted model, not a curated record. Lineage: Eukaryota; Metazoa; Chordata; Amphibia; Anura; Myobatrachidae.
ACUCACGGGGAAGAGAAAAAGACAGUUGCUCGUGUGAGGUCGUCAGUUGGUGGUGCAGGGAGGAGAGACAGAGCAGCAGCGGAGGUGUGAGCAACGGACGAUAGAGGAGAGGUGAACUUACGGAAAUAUUUGGGGGAGUGUAUCCACGAAGCUCCCUGCCACCUGCAUUGAUCGAUCCGCUGUAAGCCGAACAGAGGCGGGUGGAUCUCGUCUAUGACCCGUCAGAAGCCGCAUUGAAGUCCGCCUCCUAAGUGAGUGGGCGGUACAUACUGGCAAGGCAGAGUGCUAGGAGGGAGGUGCGGCUGGGAUACUAAGAGCGACGCGACCCUCCGGAGCUGCUGGAUAGAGGACACAGCCUCAUAGAGACUGAAGGGCAGCUGUCCUGGCCAAUAAUUGAGUUGGGAGGAAGAGUCGAGGGAGAGGCUAUUCCCCUUUCAGGCUGACAGAUGAAUACACGACGAGCCAGAAUACAUUUUUGUCCGUCGCCAACCAGUGGAGGAGACACCUGUGCCAAUGAUUUAUGGGGGCCCCAGACAGGGGCAAGAUAGGUGGGCUGGCCCAGAAGCGGGCAGGCAGCAGCCCACUUAUACAAGAGAACAGUUGCAGCGUGCCGUUCUGCUCCUGCGGGUGGUGGUCCACCUCUUAGUGGACCACUUUUUUAAUUUGUUGUUAAGAUCAUUUUAAAUUUUUUUUUUUUUUUUUAAUAAAUGUUUG